UACACUACAUGCUUACAAUUGAAUCUACAAAAAUCGUCUCAACCAUGCAUGUGUGCAGAAUGUCACUGUGCUACAGUAACUGUAGAAUCAUGUUUGGCAGUGCUGUCGAAAGUGUGCCCAUCAUUAUACCAGUAUGAUAAUGUGCCCACCCCUAUACCUUAUAUAGAUUUGAUGUUAUAAUUAUGUUCUCGUGCAAUAAUUAUUAUAGCUGCAGAUUAUAUAUAGUGUUAGGACGAUGAAUUAAAGUAAUAGUGUAUAGGACUCAGUCAAUAUUAUAUUGAAAAUUCCGAAUAGUGUAGGAAUAGUGUGGGGCAUGCAGGGUCAAUGAUAAUCAGUAUAGUAGAAGUGGUGGGUAUACAUGGGAGUGAACCCCUCAGAGUUUUUGGCACUCUGAAGUGGUUGACCAAUGGUUGCUAGCAUGCAAUGAUAAUCCUGCUAGUUCAUUUAUGGGAGGCUUAAGGAAGGAGCGAGUGCAUAUACAGACCGCCUUGUCGUCAGUGUUUUUCCACAGUAGCUGAAACAAAAGAAAAGGUAUUGAUUUGCAUUUACCUUCAGCAUGCAGUCGUGCAUGGUUACUGAGCCGCCUGUUUCCUUUCAUGCAUGGUGGCCCAAUUUGUUCCUGAAGAUAACCCACAUUGGAGCAAUUACCUUCUCAUGCUGGAAAUCACAGACCAUCUAUUUUCCCCAGAUCUCGACACUCAGAUGAAGUUGCUUACCUCAAAAACCCUUCAAUAGCCUUUUGUGAGCUCUAUACUGAUGCCCCCAAAAUGCACUAUCUGAUGCAUGCAUGCACCAAGACUGAUCAUUGAGUAUAAUUGAAGACGGUGCCACAAGCCAAUGAGAAAUUUGACUCAGACUAACAAACAGCAUCUGUAAAACUAUAUGACAAUAUCUACCAAGUGUAUAUACAGUGGCUACGUACUUGCAACCUAUUCCAGUAUAAUAAUAAUA
Molecule: long non-coding RNA, 951 nt
Organism: Halichondria panicea
Lineage: Eukaryota; Metazoa; Porifera; Demospongiae; Suberitida; Halichondriidae
Exons: 2
Source: RefSeq, a predicted model, not a curated record